Molecule: long non-coding RNA, 2281 nt
Filed under: Felis catus (domestic cat)
Lineage: Eukaryota; Metazoa; Chordata; Mammalia; Carnivora; Felidae
Description: lncRNA (ENSFCAG00000049829.1)
Source: RNAcentral
GUGGCUAUUGGGUGGUUGAGAAACAGUUGAAAGGAGUCUAGCCUGACCAGCCUUCUAGAAGGAACAUCUCCAGGAAACACUGAAAAGAAUCCAGACUCUGGAAUCCAACAAACCUUGGUUUGGAUGCAGGCUCUACCACUCACUCAUCGUGUUUCCUGGAGCAAGGCACUUACCAUUUCUUUUUUUUUUUUUUUUUUUUUUUAGUUUUUUAAUGUUUAUUUAUUUUUGAGACAGAGACAGAGAGAGCAUGAGCAGGGUAGGGACAGAGAGAAAGAGAGAGACACAAAAUCCAAAGCAGGCUCCAGGCUCUGAGCUGUCAGCACAGGGCCAGAUGUGGGUCUCGAACUCACGGAGUGCGAGAUCAUGACCUGAGCCAAAGUCAGAUGCUUAACCGAUUUAGCCACCCAGGCGCCCCAAGGCACUUAACAUUUCUGAAGAGCCAUUUCCUCAUUUGAAGCAUGAGGGUAGUAAUGGCGACCUCAAAGCAGGGCAGGAGGUGAAGGCCAGAGAUAACAUAUGUAGGCACCUGGUAUUAUAUGUGACAGGAGGUACAAAAUGAAGAGCAGCCAUUCUUGUUUGGAGACACCAGCCAAUUAAACAUGAGGGGUUUUUUUCCUAUUUGGUUAAGUACAUAUUUUCGUUAAGUUCCAGAUUAUGUAUAUUUUAACUCUGCAACGUGUUUAUAAUUCAACAAAACAUAAUUAAAACAGUGACUCGGGGUGAUCAUUUACACAUUCAUGUCAUUAGGAAAAAUCAGAACGUAUUACAAAAAGAUAACUUCUGUCGACAUUCAGGUUUGGGGCACUGCCCUGAUAGUUGCAAGUUGUUGUUUCUUUCUUAAAUUACAUGAAAAGAAUGUUUAAUUUGACGGAUAUUUAGUCCUUACAUGAAAUGGCAAAGCGCAUGAAAUCCCAGUUUCAACAUAUCCAUCGUGUAACGUGGCGAGUAUUCCUUCCUCGCCAGGGUAAAGCACAGAGCCAGCGAAUCGGAGUGGCAGUUGAAAACUACAAGUCCCCCAGAUGCCAGCAACAGGAAACGUGGAAGCAGGUCUCAGAAGACAGACACUCAACACGGGCCAAGCUCCUGGCCCGUGUUGAUCCGCACACUCCCCAUCCGAAGUGGCUGCAGGCCAGGUGCGUGACCACAACAAGCAAGAACUCCUUUUGUCCACUUCCUCCACGGGACAAGGCACGGACCUGUAUCUCAUCAGUUCACAGAAUGUGCUGGAUUCCAACGCUGGGUUCGUCCUUACAGACCGGGGAUGGAACAGCUUAACUUCUUUUGCUGGAAACCCCCGCGCCCCCAUCCUAUGGUAAUACGGAGCCAGCCAAACCUUGUUCCUCACUCGGGGCUGAUUUCUGGCACCACUCCCACUGCAGGACUCCAGCACUGACAGAGGUUAAUGGGUACCAUUUAGCCGCUCUCGGCAGCACUGGUUUGAUCUUCUUGGCUCUGAUACUCUUCCUCCUCUUGGCACAAGAAAAUUCAGCUUUUGCCCUUUAUCUUGUUAUCCAAGAGCCUGAAUGCCCAUGACAGCCAGGGAUGAAGAUGCUGCCCCUUCUAAGUCCUUGGCAGAGCGGGAGAAUUCAGCCCAAUGCAGGCAAUGUGCACUGAGCUCUUUCUUUCUCCCUCAACAGCCAGCUGGCCUGUUGCGGAAACCAAGGCCAAUCGGAAAAGACACACACGCAUAUGUGGCUGUGUUUUCUCCUCCACCACAAAAGACAGAGGAGCAGACAGGGGCCGGAGGAAGGAGUUUCUCACUCUCAGUAAGCAAAGAUGAUUAAACCUGCCCUGAUUCCGAAGAACCCUCGACCAUCCUGAGUUCCCAAGUCCUCAGAGGUGCAUCAGCCCACAGAGUUACACAUGAACGUGACUUUGGAAGAAAAACGUCAACGUCAACGUGACUGCUUCUCGGCAAACGAGUGCACAUGGGCUCCAAUCACAAACAAUGGAUCACUCUCUCCUGGAACACCGACUACUUUUUUAAAUCCACUCGGAAGGCUCCUGACCCAGCCUCAGACUCAGCAGAGAAGUAGGAAUGAGAGGGGCACAGAGAGGUUGGGGCCUGCAGUCAUCAUGGACCGUAUAGAUAGAGUCAAGUCCUAUUAUUCCCAAAGAUGCCUUAAGUCACGAUAGAGCACAGCACUGUAUCGAACCUCUACUGAGUGCACGCGGGCUUAUCAGUGCAUUGAGUGGAAGCAGUUUCUCUUAUAGCACUGGAACAGAUAGCUGUGACUUUGGUUAAGCACCAAAUAAAGGAGUUGGUUUGUAUUUAGGAACA